Helianthus annuus (common sunflower) is the source of this 652-nucleotide RNA transcript. RefSeq lists it as uncharacterized. Lineage: Eukaryota; Viridiplantae; Streptophyta; Magnoliopsida; Asterales; Asteraceae. The transcript has 4 exons. The record is from RefSeq and is a predicted model, not a curated record.
CUUUCCAUUCCCUUCUCUCUCACAAUCUUCUCUCUCACAACUCACACAUCUAACAAAACUUCAUCAGACCUUCUCUCUCGGCGACUCAAGAAUAUCAUGCCCUAGAUCUGCCUCUGAAUCGUUUAUCUAACAACAAAUCUCACAUAUUUUCGAGCUUUUUCUUUCUCAAACACAGUGGUGGUGAUAACCCAGACGAUAGAAGAUGUCGGAUAUGGUGGUCGUGGGUGGAAACCUAGACGGCUGCGGAGGGUGCCUGUAUUUUCUUUCAGCAAUCUUCUGUGGAGUUUGGGUGGCUUUUUUGUCAAGAUCGACUGGUUUGACCGCUCGGGUGCACCGGAAUAACCAGAUGUGUAUCACCUGGAAUGAACAAGCUGGAUAACCAGUCGAUCUCUAAAAAUUUUCAGCAAGUAUCAUCUUAUCUUGCAAGUAUCAUUUGGAAUGAACAAGCUGGACACCCAGUAGAUCUCUACACAAUUUCAACAAGGCAUUGUUCGAGCCCUAGCUUUUUUAUUCUGCAAAAUGUUUGUUUUUUAUUGGUGAGGAAAUUAUUAUAUUACAAACUACUAGGGGUGUGCACGGUUCGGUUCGUUUUUAGCAUUAACCGAAACCGUAACUAACAAAAGUAUUUGAUUGCUGUUUCUAUUCUUUAAAG